GGAGUGCUGCUGCUCCUGGUAUAAAUGGGAACAAAAUCUAACUAAUCUCGGGUAGUUAGAUUUUGUUCCCAUUUAUACCAGGAGCAGCGUUAUUAGAGC
RNAcentral lists this microRNA precursor (99 nucleotides) under Anopheles stephensi (Asian malaria mosquito). Its description in RNAcentral is "mir-133 microRNA precursor family". The record is from RNAcentral. Lineage: Eukaryota; Metazoa; Arthropoda; Insecta; Diptera; Culicidae.